This 454-nucleotide ribosomal RNA is filed under the name uncultured Erysipelothrix sp. Its description in RNAcentral is "bacterial SSU rRNA". It matches the Rfam family "Bacterial small subunit ribosomal RNA", at positions 924 to 1382 of the family's 1533-position model. The record is from RNAcentral. Lineage: Bacteria; Bacillati; Bacillota; Erysipelotrichia; Erysipelotrichales; Erysipelotrichaceae.
CACAAGCGGUGGAUUAUGUUGUUUAAUUCGACGCAACGCGAAGAACCUUGCCAGGCCUUGACAUACUCGGCAAAGCUCUAGAGAUAGAGUGGAGGUUAUCCGGGAUACAGGUUGGUGCAUGGUUGUCGUCAGCUCGUGUCGUGAGAUGUUGGGUUAAGUCCCGCAACGAGCGCAACCCUUGUCUUUAGUUACCAUCAUUCAGUUGGGGACUCUAGAGAGACUGCCGGUGAUAAACCGGAGGAAGGUGGGGAUGACGUCAAAUCAUCAUGCCCCUUAUGGCCUGGGCUACAAACGUAAUACAAUGGCGUAUACAAAGGGAUGCGAAAGGGCGACCUGGAGCAAAACUUACAAAGUACGUCUCAGUUCAGAUUGGAGUCUGCAACUCGACUCCAUGAAGGCGGAAUCGCUAGUAAUCGCGGAUCAGCAUGCCGCGGUGAAUACGUUCUCGGGGUUU